ACCGAGCCCUCAGUUGCCGGGGGAGCUGAUGUGGAGGAUCAACCGCCAAUCCAGGUACCUCGAAGUUGGCCAGGACCAGUUCGUUAGCAUGCCGGGGGUGAUAAGCACUAGGGAGCCCGUCGAAGGAUAAACCUUUGAUGGCGAGAUCACCAUCACCGCCAGGCUCAAGGUUGCUGGUGACUUAGGAGCCGGCAGCAGCAUGCUUACAGAAGAGCAGCUUCUCCUGUCCAUGGGUGAUAACUUCCGCCAGCUCCAUGUUGGGAAAAAUAGCAUAAAUUCAAAAGUUUC
Molecule: long non-coding RNA, 288 nt
Filed under: Hordeum vulgare
Lineage: Eukaryota; Viridiplantae; Streptophyta; Magnoliopsida; Poales; Poaceae
Description: long non-coding RNA (HVUL_LNC009775)
Source: RNAcentral